Pollicipes pollicipes is the source of this 340-nucleotide long non-coding RNA. RefSeq lists it as uncharacterized. The transcript is spliced from 3 exons. The record is from RefSeq and is a predicted model, not a curated record. NCBI's taxonomy places the organism in Eukaryota, Metazoa, Arthropoda, Thecostraca, Pollicipedomorpha, Pollicipedidae.
UGUGACCUUCUCAUCCGCUACCCUCCGCUGGCAUGGGAGGUGCGAGCCUCCUCACUGCCCACCCCGGAGCGUGCCUGGAACAGACGCAAGCACCUGAGCGGUGCACUUGCACGAGAUGCGAGCUGAUGCCCACCACGGCUGAGAGCGUGUGUUGCGGCAUGGAACCCUGUAUUCUUACAGACCAGCAAAUGCAGCUGGUCUGUCUGAACGAAGCAGCAGUCACGGUUGGCAUGCUGUUGUACGCCAGCCUGCGCGCCCAGCCGGCCAGCGCUCUCCAGCGGGCGAACGACCCUGGUGCCUUCAACCGACCAUUGCGGUACCAGGCAUACCGUCAGUUCAU